UACGGAGGGUGCGAGCGUUGUUCGGAAUCACUGGCGUAAAGCGCGUGCAGGCGGUUUUCUAAGUCUGGUGUGAAAGCCCGGGGCUCACCCCCGGAAGUGCACUGGAGACUGGGAGACUUGAGUACCGGAGAGGAGGGUGGAAUUCCUGGUGUAGCGGUGAAAUGCGUAGAUAUCAGGAGGAACACCGGUGGCGAAGGCGGCCCUCUGGACGGCUACUGACGCUGAGACGCGAAAGCGUGGGGAGCAAACAGG
RNAcentral lists this ribosomal RNA (252 nucleotides) under uncultured bacterium. RNAcentral's name for it is "partial 16S ribosomal RNA". It matches the Rfam family "Bacterial small subunit ribosomal RNA", at positions 524 to 776 of the family's 1533-position model. The record is from RNAcentral.